This 645-nucleotide ribosomal RNA is filed under the name Triticum aestivum (bread wheat). RNAcentral's name for it is "partial small subunit ribosomal RNA". The record is from RNAcentral. Lineage: Eukaryota; Viridiplantae; Streptophyta; Magnoliopsida; Poales; Poaceae.
AUGGUGCACCUGAGGCACGCGAUUGCCACGGUUCAAAGAGACUUACAAAGCGAGGACGAAUUCAGAUGGCCACACGAUCCUUCAGGAGCUUACACCGCGAGAUCCACGUAUGCGCAACUCUGCCAGGGAGGAAUCCGCUUCCCCAUGGCACCGGCCAUUUGGCGAAGUUGGGCCCCGCUUAAGUACAAGAUUUUUACCUGGCUCGCGGUGCAACACAGAUUGUGGACCUCUGAUAGGAGAGCUCGUCAUGGUCUGCAAGAUGAGCCUUCGGCUUGCUACAUUUGCUUGCAACAGGAAGAUAACGUCGAGCACAUGUUGGUGCAAUGCCCAUAUGCGAGAGAAGUCUGGCACACAUGUUUCGACACUUUGCAGGUUCAAGUCGGUAUUCCGGACGGUCAGGAGACACUAGAGGAGUGGUGGCUCAAGACUAGGAGAGGAUUCCAUGGAAAAGUGAAGCGAGGCUUCGACUCGCUGGUCAUUGGAGCGUUGUGGGCCAUUUGGAAGCAAAGAAACGCGCACGUCUUCAACCGGCCGGAGCAGGUGGUGGGCCCGAGAGAGCUCGCAAUGGCGAUUCUCGGCGACAUUCGGGAUUGGUCGAGCGCUAGGUUUGGUGUGGGUGGCCUAGAUAGAUUCGUGAGGAGUUAG